GCACUCCUGUUGCAGCACAUAUAAUAAAAAUUGUAACAAUACAGAGAAGAUUAGUAUGGCCCCUGUGCAAGGAUGACGUGCAAAUUCGGGAACCGUUCCAUAUUUUU
Molecule: non-coding RNA, 107 nt
Organism: Pelobates cultripes (western spadefoot toad)
Lineage: Eukaryota; Metazoa; Chordata; Amphibia; Anura; Pelobatidae
Source: the annotation of a GenBank genome assembly